GACGAACGCUGGCGGCGCGCUUAACACAUGCAAGUCGAACGGAAAGGCCUGCUUUCCCUUGUGGAUUGCGGGUACUCGAGUGGCGAACGGGUGAGUAACACGUGAGUGAUCUGCCCCCAACUUGGGUAUAAGCCUGGGAAACUGGGUCUAAUUCCCGAUAGGACUGCAGGGUGGUGCCUGUGGUGGAAAACGAUUUUCUAGUGGUUGGGGAUGAGCUCGCGGCCUAUCAGCUUGUUGGUGGGGUAAUGGCCUACCAAGGCGGCGACGGGUAGCCGGCCUGAGAGGGUGGACGGCCACAUUGGGACUGAGAUACGGCCCAGACUCCUACGGGAGGCAGCCGUGGGGAAUAUUGCACAAUGGGCGGAAGCCUGAUGCAGCGACGCCGCGUGGGGGAUGACGGCCUUCGGGUUGUAAACUCCUUUCGACCGCGAGGAAGCCACCUGGUUGGAAGGGUGGUGACGGUAGUGGUAGAAGAAGCACCGGCUAACUACGUG
RNAcentral lists this ribosomal RNA (494 nucleotides) under uncultured bacterium. RNAcentral's name for it is "partial 16S ribosomal RNA". It matches the Rfam family "Bacterial small subunit ribosomal RNA", at positions 28 to 507 of the family's 1533-position model. The record is from RNAcentral.